Paramuricea clavata is the source of this 295-nucleotide non-coding RNA. Lineage: Eukaryota; Metazoa; Cnidaria; Anthozoa; Malacalcyonacea; Plexauridae. The record is from the annotation of a GenBank genome assembly.
UUCACCAAUCUCUUGGAAUCGUUGGACCGAAAGUUUUGUUGGUGUGUGCUGCAAGAACUGACAUUCCUAACUGGAUGGUUAAGAUUUAGGUUUUUAAAAGCAUAACAUUUUAUUCAACUUGUAUUUUCAUAUGCAUGCACUAUAAAUUUUCAUUUAUUUAGCUGUGGUUGUUAAUAAGCAAGAAUUGUGUGAGGAUUUUCAGACAUCCAGAAUUGUCAUGUUUUACUGCGACAUAAGCGCUAUAAGCAUAUGCUCGAACAUACUGUAAUUGUCCUUAUGUUGGCCAAGACAGUAU